UACAGAGGUGCCAAGCGUCAGGCGGAAUCACUGGGCUUAAAGCGCGUGUAGGCGGGUCGUUAAGUGUCCGAGUGAAAUCCCACGGCUCAACCGUGGAACUGCCGGGCAUACUGGCGAUCUUGAGGCAUUCAGGGGCGAGCGGAACAAAUGGUGGAGCGGUGAAAUGCGUAGAUAUCAUUUGGAACGCCAAUGGUGAAAACAGCUCGCUGGGAAUGAUCUGACGCUGAGACGCGAAAGCCAGGGGAGCGAACGGG
RNAcentral lists this ribosomal RNA (254 nucleotides) under uncultured bacterium. RNAcentral describes it as "partial 16S ribosomal RNA". It matches the Rfam family "Bacterial small subunit ribosomal RNA", at positions 524 to 776 of the family's 1533-position model. The record is from RNAcentral.